AGCGGUUGGAGUGUUAUGGGUCUUUUGGUUUUGGGGGAUUUAAGUGGCCGCUUAGCGGUUGGAGUGUUAUGGGUUCUUUGUUUUUGGGGAAUUUAAAAGAUAAGCGGCCUCCUUAUAUAUGCUAGUACAUGUGCGAACAGGUGAGGAAACCCGGAGAACUAAGUUUUUGGGCGGGGUCGGAGUCGUAUUAGGCAGAAGGCGGGAUAAAGGACCACCUUGCCGAAGAUGCGCCGCUUUAAUUGAAAGCCACAUUCUUACUGAGACAAGGGGGAAACUCAAAUGGGGGCGUUGGCCCUUGGGGCAGCAGUAAGGAAUCUUGUGCAAUAUACGAAAGUAAGACACAGAGAGGACGUAGUUUACCUGAUCCGUCAAAUUAAGUGCCAGCAGACGCGGUGAAACUUAAGGGUUAGUUUUAUAGGGGAAAGCGUAAAGAGUGUGCGUGGGUCGCUCUGUUAUUAAGAGGGUAAAUGGAAUUUUUUUGUAGUGGUGAUAUAUUUAAAUAGGAAAAAGAACUUUAGAUGUGCAGGCGAUUUACCUCUAAGACUAUAGUGUCGGGGCUAAAAUAUGAGAGUGGGGAAAAUGAACAGGACCUGGCGCCCUGGUAAUCCAUACUGUAAACAAUGAAGGAGUGUGGAGUAGGCCCAAAAGGUAAGAAGUUUUUUCGCUUGAGUAGUACGAUCGCAAGAUUAAAAUUCAAAGAAUUUGGUGGUGUACUGUUUUCAUUAGAGGAGCGUGUUGUUUAAUUCGAUAGUCCGCGAGACACCUUACCCAAAUUUGAAUUCUUUAUUGACAGGUAUUGCAUGGCCGUCGUCAGUUUGUGUAUAAAACAUAAAACAGGUUUAACCCAGUGAUUCAAUUGGAUGAAGUCAGGUCUUAUUGUCCUAAUGUUUGGGGAUUAGAUGCGCUACAUUUUUUUAUAUAAUGGGAGAUUUUAAAGGGGAAACCUUAAAAUAAGAGUUCGGAAGGUCCUUGGAAGAUAGUGGAAAGUUGUAUUUAAUAGUAAUUGAAAAGUAGAGCGUUUCAGUGAAAUUGGUUCAGUAUAAGUACAAAUCGCCCGUCGCCUUUGCUUAAAGAAGUCGUUUGAACGCCCCUUGGGGUUCCGAGCACUCAUGAGGUAGAGUAAGUCGUAACAUAGUUAGAGUGGGGGAACUGGCUCUUGGCGUCAGAGUUUUAGAAAAUAGAAUAUAGAGAUAGGGUGGGCUCAAGCAAAUAAAAAAGCAAAUAAGUUGUAGCAAAAAGGAUAAAGGCCCUUAGCAUUUAGGUAAUGGAAGACAUGGUAAUUCCGGUGUUUAACGGGGGACCGUUCCUCUAUUCGUUAAGUCUUCCUGUGGCCCCAGGAGUAUGCACGCGGCUUGAUGGUGUUGGUAGCGAAUGCUGUCAGGUUAUGUGAUGCGAUAUGCCAUCGGGCCGCUGUUGUCCGGUGUCGCCAAUUUCUGGGUUGAUAGGAUUGUUAUAUAUAGUACUGAGCUUUAGCUAUGGGGCUAGGUUCGGCUUUCGUAGUAAAUUGCGUUGUACUAUAUAGGGACGGGGGGCCUUGGUAAUUGUGAUAGUUAUGUUUAUUUGA
RNAcentral lists this ribosomal RNA (1564 nucleotides) under Gardineria hawaiiensis. Its description in RNAcentral is "12S ribosomal RNA". The stretch from base 66 to 1172 matches the Rfam family "Bacterial small subunit ribosomal RNA". The record is from RNAcentral. Lineage: Eukaryota; Metazoa; Cnidaria; Anthozoa; Scleractinia; Caryophylliidae.